UUUUUUUUUUUUUUUUUUUGGCAGCCAAUCUCGGGUUUUCUUUAACUAUCUGUGUUUGGAGUUAAAUGGGUAGUAGCUAAUAAUUACCUGUUUAGACCAUCCAUCCCAUCUCUAUCUCUCUGUGGUAAAAAAUUGAUUAGGUGUGUUCCUUUGACUGAGGACAAAUUGAUUAGUUAUAAAAGCAACGUAAAGUUAAUUAAUUAAAUAUUCGUCAUUGUCAUUGAUCCACGUAAGAAUGGG
This 240-nucleotide unclassified non-coding RNA is filed under the name Hevea brasiliensis (rubber tree). The record is from RNAcentral. Lineage: Eukaryota; Viridiplantae; Streptophyta; Magnoliopsida; Malpighiales; Euphorbiaceae.